AGCGAACGCUGGCGGCAGGCCUAACACAUGCAAGUCGAACGGACCCUUCGGGGUUAGUGGCGGACGGGUGAGUAACACGUGGGAACGUGCCUUUAGGUUCGGAAUAGCUCCUGGAAACGGGUGGUAAUGCCGAAUGUGCCCUUCGGGGGAAAGAUUUAUCGCCUUUAGAGCGGCCCGCGUCUGAUCAGCUAGUUGGUGAGGUAACGGCUCACCAAGGCGACGAUCAGUAGCUGGUCUGAGAGGAUGACCAGCCACACUGGGACUGAGACACGGCCCAGACUCCUACGGGAGGCAGCAGUGGGGAAUCUUGCGCAAUGGGCGAAAGCCUGACGCAGCCAUGCCGCGUGAAUGAUGAAGGUCUUAGGAUUGUAAAAUUCUUUCACCGGGGACGAUAAUGACGGUACCCGGAGAAGAAGCCCCGGCUAACCUCGUG
Molecule: ribosomal RNA, 433 nt
Filed under: uncultured bacterium
Lineage: Bacteria
Description: partial 16S ribosomal RNA
Rfam family: Bacterial small subunit ribosomal RNA
Source: RNAcentral